RNAcentral lists this ribosomal RNA (496 nucleotides) under uncultured bacterium. Its description in RNAcentral is "partial 16S ribosomal RNA". It matches the Rfam family "Bacterial small subunit ribosomal RNA", at positions 28 to 506 of the family's 1533-position model. The record is from RNAcentral.
GAUGAACGCUGGCGGCGUGCCUAAUACAUGCAAGUCGAGCGAACAGACGAGGAGCUUUCUCCUCUUACGUUAGCGGCGGACGGGUGAGUAACACGUGGAUAACCUCCCUAUAGGACUUGGAUAACUUCGGGAAACCGGAGCUAAUACCGGAUAAUAUAUUGACCUGCAUGGUUCAAUAGUUAAAGACGGUUUUGCUGUCACUUAUAGAUGGAUCCGCGCCGCAUUAGCUAGUUGGUAAGGUAACGGCUUACCAAGGCAACGCUGCGUAGCCGACCUGAGAGGGGGAUGGGGGACACAGGAGGUGAGAGACGCGCCAGAGUCCUACGGGAGGCAGAAGAGGGGAGAAUAACGCAAAGGGGGAAAGAGUGACGGGGAAACGCGGCGUGAGAGAGGAAGGUGUCCGGAGGGUAAAAAUCUGUUACGAGGGAAGAACAAAUGUGUAAGUAACGAGGGACGGUUGGACGGAACCGAAUAAGAAAGCCACGGCUAAUUAGGG